UACGUAGGGACCAAGCGUUGUUCGGAUUUACUGGGCGUAAAGGGCGCGUAGGCGGCAAUUCAAGUCAUCUGUGAAAUCUCCGGGCUUAACCCGGAAAGGUCAGCCGAUACUGCGGGGCUAGAGUGCAGAAGGGGCAACUGGAAUUCUCGGUGUAGCGGUGAAAUGCGUAGAUAUCGAGAGGAACACCUGCGGCGAAGGCGGGUUGCUGGGCUGACACUGACGCUGAGGCGCGAAAGCUAGGGGAGCGAACGGG
RNAcentral lists this ribosomal RNA (253 nucleotides) under uncultured bacterium. RNAcentral describes it as "partial 16S ribosomal RNA". It matches the Rfam family "Bacterial small subunit ribosomal RNA", at positions 524 to 776 of the family's 1533-position model. The record is from RNAcentral.